UGUUACCCCAUUGCCAGCAACAAAUGGACUCACUUCUGGCUCUGUAAACCAAUGUGGUGGAAACCUCUCACUUGCUUUUGGUUCCCUCUCUGGGCCAUAUUACCCUGGAAACAAUGUCAGUAUGCAGUGUGUCUGGGAAAUUGAAGUGAGCCCCUUAGAUCACAUC
Molecule: long non-coding RNA, 166 nt
Organism: Sceloporus undulatus (fence lizard)
Lineage: Eukaryota; Metazoa; Chordata; Lepidosauria; Squamata; Phrynosomatidae
Exons: 3
Source: RefSeq, a predicted model, not a curated record